This 455-nucleotide long non-coding RNA is filed under the name Mytilus galloprovincialis (Mediterranean mussel). The record is from RNAcentral. Lineage: Eukaryota; Metazoa; Mollusca; Bivalvia; Mytilida; Mytilidae.
AUUAAGUCGAUAUUCUGCUGAUCUAUAAUCACAACAUCAUUUACCGAGAAUAAAUUAAAAGAUUGAUUAUGAGAAGGGCGUGAAAUAUUCGCUGUGUCCAAGAACGCAAAUCGCCGUACACUAUGUCACAAAUGACAAAUGUUUGCGAGUAAAACACCUUGGAUUUAUUUUAUUUAUACAAUGACUUUCAAGAAAUUUGGACUGUGAAGGAAACCCAAAAGCGUCAGAAUCGUGGAACACAUUUGACUGGAAUAAAGAAAUUAACACAAGCAUGAACUUUUUAGAUUAAUGACCGUAUAUUGAGUUCAGAAAAUCGACAAACAUACACAUUUUUAAUUAAUUAAUUUACAGCAAGCUCUUAGAAAUUAAUUUAUCCAUGCCUUUCGUUUUUUUUGUAAAAAAAACCCAGCAAACAUCCUCUGUCCCAAUACCCACGAUAGAGACAUUAAACAACU